Podarcis lilfordi (Lilford's wall lizard) is the source of this 4785-nucleotide non-coding RNA. Lineage: Eukaryota; Metazoa; Chordata; Lepidosauria; Squamata; Lacertidae. The record is from the annotation of a GenBank genome assembly.
CUUCACUUGCAGUUUUGUCUUGUUCUCUCUUUUGCUGCCAUGCUGCUCUCCUGCAGCCAUUUUGUUCUAUUGUAAUUUUGCUGUCUGCUGGGUCUCAGCCAGCAGCACACAAGUUCGGUCUCCAUAUGAGAUGAACUCACAGUUUCUUUGUGUAACUCCCAAGUAAAGUCUGCCUUUCAGGGAUCAAAUCAUGAACUGAAAUGUGAGCAAACUUUUUGUUACUUUACUCAGAAAGACUCUUGUGUCUUUAUUCUUUUAAGGGCGAUCAAAGGAGACACCAGGAAAUAAUCUAAACUAAGAGAUUCAAACGAAUCUGCAAACUAGCUUCCAGUUAUAUUGAGGGGAAUCUGCUCUGCUACAUCACUCACUAGCAUGAGUGAGGGAAGGAUAAUACUUAUUCAAUAUAUCCUUCCCUAGUAUCCUUAACAUUCCCACAAGGGGAGGAGAAAGAGGAUUCCUGCGAGGGGUGUAGCUACGACUGGCACACACCAGGGCAAGCUGGGGGUGGAGGAAGAGAGAUUAGGGGCAUAGAAUGUACCCACCAGACAGCAGAGGAUAGUGAGAGGACGGAUGUCAGUGCCCAGGAACCAGAGGAGCAGGACCAAUCACCAGAGCCAGAGGGGCCCCCUCCACAAACACAGUGAGCUCUGAGGCAUAGGGAGCAGAGAGAGGUACAUUCUGGCCAGGUGGGGCUCAUUAGCUUGGGGAGGAAGUGUGUGAUUCCUCAGCUGGAGCAGGCUCAGAACAGGUGGGGGGUCACAUUCCUCAUCAUGCCCAGAUGCUGCAAUCAACACGCCAGGUAUAAAAGGGAAGCAGAGCUGAGGUGCUGUGUCUUUUCCAUUUCCCAAGUGGAUAGACCUUGGCUUGGAUUUUCCAGGAACUCUAUGGUACUGUGUUUUUUGAGGGACUGUAUACACCAGUGGGGACUUGCCACCAGGUAUGCCAGAGGUUCAGAAUACCAGAUGGCGAUCCAACCACAUACUGACUACGAACUGUUAUCUUUGCAUUUGAAGCUCCAGUGUGACUCUCUACUUGUCUGAUACCUUUUGAAUUAUCUUAAAACAAAUCUUUAGAAUUGUGUUGGCUAUAUUGUCCACCAUUUCUUGGUACAUUGUGGUGCAGUUUCCACUUUGGAAAAAAAGUAUUUAAGAAGAUCAGGUACAGCAUAACAGAAAUCUGCUUGCAUGCCCUGCAUCCCCACUGAGGAUGCUGUGCCCAACUCCCCAAAGCCCUUAAAUUCUAGAGUUAGCACUGUUUUUAAUAUAUAUAUAUAUAUAUAUGGAUAUACAUAUGGAUAUAUAUAUAUAUAUCCAUAUAUAUCCAAAGCUGCAGAGUUUUGCCUCACAUCUGAAUUAUCUAAUAUAUACUUGGAGAAUGAUAUUAUUUCCCCCAGCAAAAUUAAUUUAGGGAUUGAGAAUUCUGUCCAAUGAGCAACUUUUGACUAAAUAUGCUUUGUACCAAUUUGUUUCCAUCCGUCUAUGGUUUUUGCUACACAAAUGGACCACGGUUUUGUUUGCUUUCAGCUACUCGUUGCUUUUAAUUGUUUGGAAUUCCAUAUGCUCUGCAGGUGUGAAAGGGCCCCCGUAGCUUUAUUUCUCUACGUGGUGUACAUUUCAGUAUUAAAGCUGUGCUAAUUACACAGGCAUAAAUUACAUUUUUGCCUGAUUCAUUUUUUUAACUGCUUUGGUUUUAUAUAACAUUGUUACUGCUGACAUUUUAGACGUUCAGGUUUAGGUGUUGGUUGGGUGUGUGUGUUUUUAAAAAGGAAAAUGUUACAAGUCCUUUCCCCUGCAAUUGAUUAUGCAGACAAUCCCACAUUAUAUGCAAUCUAUUUCUCAAAGACUAGCGGGGGGGUGGGGACGAAUAUACUACAAUUAGCAAUCUGGAAAAACACCACAAACCAGACACCUUAAGGUUUGUUCAAAGCAGAACUUUAGCUCUAGUGCAUUUGUCUGACUCAUGAACAUAGGUACCAAUUCAGCUAAAUAUAAAAAAAUAAAAUAAAAUACUCUUGUCAGAUUUUGUUGUUGUCCUGGCUCCUUGGACUAACUGCUUGUGCCCAGGUAUGUUGGCUUCAUAGUUCUGCAGCCUUUUAUUUUGACCAGCAAGUGUGCUUUGAUCUUUUAAUUAUUGUUAGUGAUCGUAUGUGACUUUGUAUGGUUUUACACUACUUUUUGUGCUGGUAUAGCUUUUAAAUUGAAUGUUUUAGUUUGCUACAUUUGUAUCCUAUUGAUUUUUAAAUUUGUGAAAGGCAUAGAGGACAUGGUUAAUUGGGUAGUAUAUAAAUGCAAGAAACAUAUUAGUUAGCUAUCAGAUUGGAGCUGCUUUGAGGGGGGAAAGCAUUGAACAGCAGUAUUCCUGCCAAAUAGAAGGGGAAGAAAUGGAGGCAGUGAGAGAUUUUACUUUCUUGGGCUCCAUGAUCACUGCCGAUGAAGAGUCGGACACGACUAAACGACUAAACAACAACAACAAAUUUCUCAAGGAACCACAGGAUCCUUGCAUCCUGGGUAAAUUUGUGUGUACACAGAUUUAAAAGCCAGUGGCAGAAAUGUACUGGAGCCAGAGUAAAUGGUAAUGUGUACACAGCCCUAGUUCCAGCUGGUUUUGUAAAAAUUGAACUUCAGUAGUACUAUGCUGAAUGCUUGAAACGGAGACCUGUUUACCAGUGAAGAUCCCAUGCUGUAGUUCCUGUUAACUAAAAUAAUUGAUGAGUGUGCAUUUCCUUCCUGGCUGAAAUUACUACUAGGAUGAAAGGUGUGUGAGCCACACUAGCAGAUGGAGUCUUGCUUGAGCUUCCUAUUGGCUGAAAGCUGCAGAGACCAAAAGGAGCUACAGGAGCCUCUUUGCAGCCAUCUGCUGGUUGGAAUAUAAAUUUACUGUUUGCUACCAGUUGUCUGAAGUAUUUGCAACACAUCCAAACUCAAGGCUGCAUCACCUCUUGAAAAUUUAUGUUGAAACACUCUCACGCAUUGUGUAGAAUAUAUUUCUUCAGCCAGUGGGUCAGGGCGCACAGGUGAAUUGCGAGGUCAUACUAGGUGGGUCACAACAAAGCUGGCGAGACCAAAAGAGUACUGCAUGCAUGUCCAGACUAGGAUGUGUUCUUCUGAGAAGAUGCUCAUUUUAUCAAUGUCCACAAGUGCUGCAGGAGAAAGACGGGAGCCAUAUUUUAAAAUGAGAUACAUAUUUUUGGCCAGCCAGAUGCUCUUGUCUUUCUCCUGUCACAUUGCAGGACUAGUUUUCAUUUAGUGGUAAUGCUGAGGUAACACUGUGUAUAUUGCUCUGAAAGCUACUAUUUAGGAUUAAAGUGCAUUACAGUGGUACCUCGGGUUACAUACGCUUCAGGUUACAGACUCCGCUAACCCAGAAAUAAUACCUCAGGUUAAGAACUUUGCUUCAGGAUGACAACAGAAAUUGCGUGGCAGCGGUGCGGCAGCAGCGGGAGGCCCCAUUAGCUAAAGCGGUGCUUCAGGUUAAGAACAGUUUCAGGUUAAGAACAGACCUCCGGAACGAAUUAACCAGAGGUACCACUGUAUUAGCACUAUUAAGCAUAAAUCAAAUGUAAAAAUGGGUCCCACAUCGCAGUUUGCCAGUCAAAGGUGGGUCUCAGAUCUCUACCAGUUGAAGGCCACUGGUGUAGAAUGUGCAAAGGACCCCUCCUCACUGAUGGCAUCAAUGAAGUGAGGUCAGUUUUCUUUGUGCCAGGAAUCUAGACAUUGUGAGGAGGUGGAUACUUUUGAACUUAGGGAUUUUUUUAAAAGAAAAUCGUAUUGUCUCCUGACAAAUCUCUAUGUGGGACAUGAAGCUACAGUUAGAACUGGAUAUGGAACAACUGAUUGGUUCAAAAUUGGGAAAGGAGUACGACAAGCCUGUAUCUUGUCUCCCUGCUUAUUUAACUUAUAUGCAGAAUUCAUCAUGCGAAAGGCUGGGCUGGAUGAAUCCCAAGACGGAAUUAAGAUUGAGGGAAGAAAUAUCAACAACCUCAGAUAUGCAGAUGACACAACCUUGAUGGCAGAAAGUGAGGAGGAAUUAAAGAACAUUUUAUUGAGGGUGAAAGAGGAGAGAGCAAAAUAUGGUCUGAAGCUCAACAUAAAAAAAACACACUAAGAUCAUGGCCUCUGGUCCCAUCACCUCCUGGCAAAUAGAAGGGAAAGAAAUGGAGGCAGUGAGAGAUUUUACUUUCUUGGGCUCCAUGAUCACUGCAGAUGGUGACAGCAGUCACGAAAUCAAAAGACGCCUGCUUCUUGAGAGAAAAGCAAUGACAAACCUAGACAGCAUCUUAAAAAACAGAGACAUCACCUUGCCGACAAAGGUCUGUAUAGUAAAAGCCAUGGUUUUCCCAGUAGCAAUGUAUGGAAGUGAGAGCUGGACCAUAAAGAAGGCUGAUCGCCAAAUAAUUGAUGCUUUUGAAUUAUGGUGCUGGAGGAGACUCUUGAGAGUCCCAUGGACUGCAAGAAGAUCAAACGUAUCCAUUCUGAAGGAAAUCAGCCCUGAGUGCUCACUGGAAGGACAGAUCGUGAAGCUGAGGCCCCAAUACUUUGGCCACCUCACGAGAAGAGAAGACUCCCUGGAAAAGACCCUGAUGUUGGGAAAGAUGGAGGGCACAAGGAGAAGGGGACGACAGAAGACGAGAUGGUUGGAUAGUGUUCUCGAAGCUACCAACAUGAGUUUGACCAAACUGCGGGAGACAGUGGAAGACAGGAGUGCCUGGCGUGCUCUGGUCCAUGGGGUCACGAAGAGUCAGACACGACUAAACAACUAAACAACAAAAUUGUAUUCAGAAGCAUU